UUAAUUGAAACCAAUGUUUGAGGUUAAUCACUGUUAAUGAUUAUAAAGAAUUUUAUAAAAUUCCAAUUAAA
This 71-nucleotide transfer RNA is filed under the name Potamyia flava. Its description in RNAcentral is "tRNA-Asn". The record is from RNAcentral. Lineage: Eukaryota; Metazoa; Arthropoda; Insecta; Trichoptera; Hydropsychidae.